RNAcentral lists this ribosomal RNA (253 nucleotides) under uncultured bacterium. RNAcentral's name for it is "partial 16S ribosomal RNA". It matches the Rfam family "Bacterial small subunit ribosomal RNA", at positions 524 to 776 of the family's 1533-position model. The record is from RNAcentral.
UACGUAGGGCGCAAGCGUUGUCCGGAAUUAUUGGGCGUAAAGAGCUCGUAGGCGGUUUGUCGCGUCUGCUGUGAAAACUCGAGGCUCAACCUCGGGCUUGCAGUGGGUACGGGCAGACUAGAGUGCGGUAGGGGAGACUGGAAUUCCUGGUGUAGCGGUGGAAUGCGCAGAUAUCAGGAGGAACACCAAUGGCGAAGGCAGCUCUCUGGGACGGUACUGACGCUGAGACGCGAAAGCGUGGGGAGCGAACAGG